CCUACGGGAGGCAGCAGUGGGGAAUAUUGGGCAAUGGAGGCAACUCUGACCCAGCAAUGCCGCGUGAAUGAAGAAGGUCUUCGGAUUGUAAAGUUCUUUAAUCAGGGACGAAGAAGAUGACGGUACCUGAGGAAUAAGCCACGGCAAACUAUGUGCCAGCAGCCGCGGUAAUACAUAGGUGGCAAGCGUUGUCCGGAAUGACUGGGCGUAAAGAGCGCGUAGGCGGGAUAGCAAGUCAGAUGUGAAAUCCUAUGGCUUAACCAUAGAACUGCAUUUGAAACUGUUAUUCUAGAGUAUGGGAGAGGUAGGUGGAAUUCUUGGUGUAGGGGUAAAAUCCGUAGAGAUCAAGAGGAAUACUCAUUGCGAAGGCGACCUGCUAGAACAUAACUGACGCUGAUGCGCGAAAGCGUGGGGAGCAAACAGGAUUAGAUACCCGAGUAGUC
RNAcentral lists this ribosomal RNA (443 nucleotides) under uncultured bacterium. Its description in RNAcentral is "partial 16S ribosomal RNA". It matches the Rfam family "Bacterial small subunit ribosomal RNA", at positions 338 to 795 of the family's 1533-position model. The record is from RNAcentral.